AGUGAACGCUGGCGGUAGGCCUAACACAUGCAAGUCGAACGGCAGCACAGUAAGAGCUUGCUCUUACGGGUGGCGAGUGGCGGACGGGUGAGGAAUACAUCGGAAUCUACUUUUUCGUGGGGGAUAACGUAGGGAAACUUACGCUAAUACCGCAUACGACCUACGGGUGAAAGCAGGGGAUCUUCGGACCUUGCGCGAUUGAAUGAGCCGAUGUCGGAUUAGCUAGUUGGCGAGGUAAAGGCCCACCAAGGCGACGAUCCGUAGCUGACCCGAGAGGAUGAGCGGCAAAACGGGACGUGAGACACGGCCAAGACGGCUACGGGAGGCAGCAGUAGGGAAGAUUACGUAAUGGGGGAAAGCCUGACGGAGCAACGCCGCGUGAGUGAUGAAGGGCUUCGGAUCGUAAAACUCUGUUAUUAGGGAAGAACAAAUGUGUAAGCAAGUAUGCACGUCUUGACGGUACCUAAGCAGAAAGCCACGGCUAACUACGGG
This 492-nucleotide ribosomal RNA is filed under the name uncultured bacterium. Its description in RNAcentral is "partial 16S ribosomal RNA". It matches the Rfam family "Bacterial small subunit ribosomal RNA", at positions 29 to 507 of the family's 1533-position model. The record is from RNAcentral.